CCUACGGGAGGCAGCAGUGGGGAAUAUUGCACAAUGGGGGAAACCCUGAUGCAGCGACGCCGCGUGAAGGAUGAAGUAUUUCGGUAUGUAAACCUCUAUCAGCAGGGAAGAAAAUGACGGUACCUGACUAAGAAGCCCCGGCUAACUACGUGCCAGCAGCCGCGGUAAUACGUAGGGGGCAAGCGUUAUCCGGAUUUACUGGGUGUAAAGGGAGCGUAGACGGGAUGGCAAGUCUGAAGGGAAAACCCGGGGCUCAACCCCGGGACUGCAUUGGAAACUGUCGGGCUGGAGUGUCGGAGAGGUAAGCGGAAUUCCUGGUGUAGCGGUGAAAUGCGUAGAUAUUAGGAAGAACACCAGUGGCGAAGGCGGCUUACUGGACUAUAACUGACGUUGAGGCUCGAAAGCGUGGGGAGCAAACAGGAUUAGAUACCCCGGUAGUC
RNAcentral lists this ribosomal RNA (440 nucleotides) under uncultured bacterium. Its description in RNAcentral is "partial 16S ribosomal RNA". It matches the Rfam family "Bacterial small subunit ribosomal RNA", at positions 338 to 795 of the family's 1533-position model. The record is from RNAcentral.